Molecule: ribosomal RNA, 433 nt
Filed under: uncultured bacterium
Lineage: Bacteria
Description: partial 16S ribosomal RNA
Rfam family: Bacterial small subunit ribosomal RNA
Source: RNAcentral
AACGAACGCUGGCGGUAUGCCUAACACAUGCAAGUCGAACGAGACCUUCGGGUCUAGUGGCGCACGGGUGCGUAACGCGUGGGAACCUGCCCUUAGGUUCGGAAUAACUCCCCGAAAGGGGUGCUAAUACCGGAUAAUGUCUUCGGACCAAAGAUUUAUCGCCUUUGGAUGGGCCCGCGUUGGAUUAGCUAGUUGGUAGGGUAAAAGCCUACCAAGGCGACGAUCCAUAGCUGGUCUGAGAGGAUGAUCAGCCACACUGGGACUGAGACACGGCCCAGACUCCUACGGGAGGCAGCAGUAGGGAAUAUUAGACAAUGAGCGAAAGCCUGAUCCAGCAAUGCCGCGUGAGUGAUGAAGGCCUUAGGGUUGUAAAGCUCUUUUACCCGGGAUGAUAAUGACAGUACCGGGAGAAUAAGCUCCGGCUAACUCCGUG